UACGGAGGGGGCUAGCGUUGUUCGGAAUUACUGGGCGUAAAGCGCACGUAGGCGGCUUUGUAAGUUAGAGGUGAAAGCCCGGGGCUCAACUCCGGAAUUGCCUUUAAGACUGCAUCGCUCGAAUUGUGGAGAGGUAAGUGGAAUUCCGAGUGUAGAGGUGAAAUUCGUAGAUAUUCGGAAGAACACCAGUGGCGAAGGCGACUUACUGGACACAUAUUGACGCUGAGGUGCGAAAGCGUGGGAGCAAACAGG
RNAcentral lists this ribosomal RNA (252 nucleotides) under uncultured bacterium. RNAcentral's name for it is "partial 16S ribosomal RNA". It matches the Rfam family "Bacterial small subunit ribosomal RNA", at positions 524 to 776 of the family's 1533-position model. The record is from RNAcentral.